GGCACGACUCUCGGCAAUGGAUAUCUCGGCUCUCGCAUCGAUGAAGAGCGCAGCGAAAUGCGAUACGUGGUGCGAAUUGCAGAAUCCCGUGAACCAUCGAGUCUUUGAACGCAAGUUGCGCCCGAGGCCAACCGGCCAAGGGCACGUCUGCCUGGGCGUCAAGC
RNAcentral lists this ribosomal RNA (164 nucleotides) under Dendrobium aduncum. Its description in RNAcentral is "5.8S ribosomal RNA". It matches the Rfam family "5.8S ribosomal RNA". From Rfam's summary of the family: 5.8S ribosomal RNA (5.8S rRNA) is a component of the large subunit of the eukaryotic ribosome. The record is from RNAcentral. Lineage: Eukaryota; Viridiplantae; Streptophyta; Magnoliopsida; Asparagales; Orchidaceae. RNAcentral also lists the same sequence under 2 other names.